This 1029-nucleotide long non-coding RNA is filed under the name Ananas comosus (pineapple). RNAcentral describes it as "long non-coding RNA (ACOM_LNC022943)". The record is from RNAcentral. Lineage: Eukaryota; Viridiplantae; Streptophyta; Magnoliopsida; Poales; Bromeliaceae.
UAUGUUCAAGGGUAUGUAAGGAAAAAGGUAAAUUGCAUUGCUACCUGCUGAACUUUUGGCGAAGUUUUACUUUACUCCUCGAACUUUUAAAAUUGACAUCUAACCCCUAAACUCUAAUAUUUCGUUCAUGUUACCGCUUCUGUCAGUUUUCCGUAUAACCGGAAACUGACAGAAAGAAUAAAACGAAUAAAAUAUUAGAGUUUAGGGUGUUAGAUGUCUAUUUUAGGAGUCUGGGGGUUAAGUGAAACUCGCCAAAAGUUCAGGGAGUAACAAUACAAUUUAUCCAAAUUUUUACUAUAAAUUAUUUUUAUAUUUUUAUAUUAAAAAUUUCUAAUUGGCUGAAAUGAACUACAAAAAUUUUAUUUAAGUGUAUUUUAUAGAACAAUGCUUCUAAAGAUAAAAGGGACAAACGAAUACUACAAAAAAUUAACUGAGAAUUAAAAUCUCUAUAUCCGAGUGCGGACAUCUAUUGUAAAUCAACCAUAUUAGCGAGUAUACCAUGAUAGUAAAGUGUUCGAGCAUUGUGGGUAAUUAGUAUCACUCUUUUUUUAUCUUUAAGUUACUAUAAUUCAUUUCUUUCACUUUUAUUUUAUUACAAGAAAAUGUAUGAUAAAUUAUGAUAUGGUUUAUUUUAGGAUAAAAAAUAUAUAUAAAUUUUAAAUCAAACAUGAUCACUAACUUGAGGAUUAGUAGUCAAUCCAUAAGUAAUAUAUUAUAAUAAAAUAAUUUAUAGUCAAGAGUCCCCUACGGAGUAAAUUGCACUAUUACCUCCUGAACCUUUAGUGAGUUUUACUUAACCCUCAAAUUUCUAAAAUAGACAUUUAACACCCUAAACUCUAAUAUUUCAUUCGUUUUACCCUUUCCGUCAGUUUCGGUUAACGGAGCUUUACGGAAAACUGACGGAAAUGGUAACAUGAACGAAAUAUUAGAGUUUAAAGGGUUAGAUGUUAAUUUUAGGAGUUCGAGGGGUAAAGUGAAAAUUCGCCAAAAGUUCAGGGAGUAACAGUACAAUUUACCCGUAAGGAAAAU